GACGAACGCUGGCGGCGUGCUUAACACAUGCAAGUCGAACGGAAAGGCCUGCUUUCCCUUGUGGCUUGCGGGUACUCGAGUGGCGAACGGGUGAGUAACACGUGAGAGAUCUGCCCCCAACUUGGGUAUACGCCUGGGAAACUGGGUCUAAUUCUCGAUCGGCCUGCAGGGUGGCGCCUGUGGUGGAAAUAGAUUUUCUAGUGGAUGGGGAUGAGCUCGAGGCCUAUCAGCUUGUUGGUGGGGUAAUGGCCUACCACGGCGGCGACGGGUAGCCGGCGCGAGAGUGCAGACGGCCACAUUGAGACUGAGAAGCGGCCCAGACACUGACAGAAGGCAGCGGUGGGGAAGAUAGGACGAUGUGGGGAAGCCUGAAGCAGGGACGCAAGGUUGGGGAUGACGGCCUGCGGGUGGGAAACACCUUUCGGCCGCGAAAAGGCCACCUGGUUGGAAGGAUAGUGACAGUAGUGGGAGAAGAAGCACCGGCUAACUACGUG
This 494-nucleotide ribosomal RNA is filed under the name uncultured bacterium. Its description in RNAcentral is "partial 16S ribosomal RNA". It matches the Rfam family "Bacterial small subunit ribosomal RNA", at positions 28 to 507 of the family's 1533-position model. The record is from RNAcentral.